UUAAAUUGAAGAGUUUGAUCAUGGCUCAGAUUGAACGCUGGCGGCAGGCCUAACACAUGCAAGUCGAACGGUAACAGGAAGCAGCUUGCUGUUUCGCUGACGAGUGGCGGACGGGUGAGUAAUGUCUGGGAAACUGCCUGAUGGAGGGGGAUAACUACUGGAAACGGUAGCUAAUACCGCAUAACGUCGCAAGACCAAAGAGGGGGACCUUCGGGCCUCUUGCCAUCGGAUGUGCCCAGAUGGGAUUAGCUUGUUGGUGGGGUAACGGCUCACCAAGGCGACGAUCCCUAGCUGGUCUGAGAGGAUGACCAGCCACACUGGAACUGAGACACGGUCCAGACUCCUACGGGAGGCAGCAGUGGGGAAUAUUGCACAAUGGGCGCAAGCCUGAUGCAGCCAUGCCGCGUGUAUGAAGAAGGCCUUCGGGUUGUAAAGUACUUUCAGCGGGGAGGAAGGGAGUAAAGUUAAUACCUUUGCUCAUUGACGUUACCCGCAGAAGAAGCACCGGCUAACUCCGUGCCAGCAGCCGCGGUAAUACGGAGGGUGCAAGCGUUAAUCGGAAUUACUGGGCGUAAAGCGCACGCAGGCGGUUUGUUAAGUCAGAUGUGAAAUCCCCGGGCUCAACCUGGGAACUGCAUCUGAUACUGGCAAGCUUGAGUCUCGUAGAGGGGGGUAGAAUUCCAGGUGUAGCGGUGAAAUGCGUAGAGAUCUGGAGGAAUACCGGUGGCGAAGGCGGCCCCCUGGACGAAGACUGACGCUCAGGUGCGAAAGCGUGGGGAGCAAACAGGAUUAGAUACCCUGGUAGUCCACGCCGUAAACGAUGUCGACUUGGAGGUUGUGCCCUUGAGGCGUGGCUUCCGGAGCUAACGCGUUAAGUCGACCGCCUGGGGAGUACGGCCGCAAGGUUAAAACUCAAAUGAAUUGACGGGGGCCCGCACAAGCGGUGGAGCAUGUGGUUUAAUUCGAUGCAACGCGAAGAACCUUACCUGGUCUUGACAUCCACAGAACUUUCCAGAGAUGGAUUGGUGCCUUCGGGAGCUGUGAGACAGGUGCUGCAUGGCUGUCGUCAGCUCGUGUUGUGAAAUGUUGGGUUAAGUCCCGCAACGAGCGCAACCCUUAUCCUUUGUUGCCAGCGGUCCGGCCGGGAACUCAAAGGAGACUGCCAGUGAUAAACUGGAGGAAGGUGGGGAUGACGUCAAGUCAUCAUGGCCCUUACGACCAGGGCUACACACGUGCUACAAUGGCGCAUACAAAGAGAAGCGACCUCGCGAGAGCAAGCGGACCUCAUAAAGUGCGUCGUAGUCCGGAUUGGAGUCUGCAACUCGACUCCAUGAAGUCGGAAUCGCUAGUAAUCGUGGAUCAGAAUGCCACGGUGAAUACGUUCCCGGGCCUUGUACACACCGCCCGUCACACCAUGGGAGUGGGUUGCAAAAGAAGUAGGUAGCUUAACCUUCGGGAGGGCGCUUACCACUUUGUGAUUCAUGACUGGGGUGAAGUCGUAACAAGGUAACCGUAGGGGAACCUGCGGUUGGAUCACCUCCUUA
This 1544-nucleotide ribosomal RNA is filed under the name Escherichia coli O104:H4 str. 2009EL-2071. RNAcentral's name for it is "16S ribosomal RNA". It matches the Rfam family "Bacterial small subunit ribosomal RNA". Lineage: Bacteria; Pseudomonadati; Pseudomonadota; Gammaproteobacteria; Enterobacterales; Enterobacteriaceae. The record is from RNAcentral.